Long non-coding RNA from Oncorhynchus mykiss (rainbow trout), 1772 nucleotides. RefSeq lists it as uncharacterized. Lineage: Eukaryota; Metazoa; Chordata; Actinopteri; Salmoniformes; Salmonidae. The record is from RefSeq and is a predicted model, not a curated record.
UAGUCACGCAAUCUUACAUCUAACUAAGAUGUUUUGUGCAGUAUUUCUCAAUUACAAAAUGUGCAUGAAAACGAGUCGUCUCUCCUUGAAUGACAACAAUAACUUUAUUGAAGAACCCUACUGUUGACCAAUCACUGACGAAGGGGCGUAGAAUGCGGCUUGGAACUUCGACUUGCCUCCAGAACAUUUUUUGUGUGCCCGAACAGCCGAAAAAUUCCUAACCGAAGUCCAAAAACGUCACAAAAUGUCAUCAUAAUAUAUUUACAAACUCUUCUGAGCUGUUUCGGCUGGGAAGCAUGCGGACGCCUUUAGAUGACAAUGAAGCGUUUUAGGAUGCAAACAAAUAUAUUUGCAGUUUGGAUUAGGAGUGUUUUUAGCUCCUUGGAGGCCAUCUUGUUUUGAGAUUUCUUGUCACUGUAUCUAGCCCUAUUGGAAUGCCCGGCCCUCGAUUCUCCAGUGGCUUGUGUACUGUAGCAUGGUUCUCACUUAGUAGUAACAUGUUUGUGUGUGUAUUGCAGAGUAGCCUGGUGGCAUUUUACAGUGGGGACAGUGACCCAGAGGAGGCAACAGACCCAGAUCAGGUGGUUGGAGGUGAUGAGCGGUCAGACAGGCCAACUUCCUCCAGUCUGUCAGCCUAUCUGCUCUGUCUCAGGCAGUUCCCUAGCGAAGACGCCCUGCUGCGGCACCAACAGCUUCAGACCUGCAGGAUGGCAAGCAGCAGGAUGACACUUUAAUCUCUAUGAGUCUGGGUGGAAAUAUUUUGGGUUAUUUUUAGCGCUGCCAUCUGCUCAGGAUGUGCAAUUGUCCUUUAGCAUAAACAAGGUGAGAACAUACAUUCUGUUGCACUUUCAUGCCAAGACUAGUCGUGCCUUUUAAAUGUGUGAAUUGCAUAGUUCCCGGGGGGAAUUAACCUUUUUAUUCUGUUAAUCGUUUUAGCAAAACUUGGACAUUCACAGACGAUCCAAACUAUUGGAAGCCGAGCUGGAGGAGUUGGAGAGAAAAUAUAUAGAGAGACAGAGCAGCUGAAAGAAGUGAUAAGAAUGGUGUUCCUGAACCACCAGCGCCCAAGAAGAAGAAAUUCUAUCAGCCUCCUGUUCCCCCCUAUCUCAAAAGCAGGGGGUCUCAUAUUCCCCUAACAUAUGUUAUUGUCCAACUAUAGCCUUGAUCAAUUCAAGUUAACAGAACUAACAAAUGAAUUACAUUUGAUUAAUAUAAUUUGAUUAAUUCCCAUCUCUCUCAACCACCUGACACAUAGGAACUAUGAGCAGCCCACCAAAGACGGUCUGACUAAUGACAACAUUGGGAACAAGAUGCUGCAGGCAAUGAGUUGGCAAGAAGGCAUCAUUACGGACCAAGGGCACACGCCUGGGCAUCAAGGGAAGCAACUACGAACUCCACGCAUCGGACACCUACAAGGACACCGUGCUCAAGGCCAUCUUUGCACGCUUCAUAGAACUUGCGUGAACAGGGACUCCUUCCUCACCCCUACACCCUUGUUACCCCAUUAUCCACACCACUGUGAAAAUUAGAAGAACAAGAGGAGCAUGUGCAUUUGUUAUUUAAGUGUUUUGUUUGGUUUACUUUAUUUGUUAUUCCUUUCUGUGACCAUGUACAACAGCUACAAAUAAUUAAGAUAUCAGGCAUUCUAUUAACCACAGGCCAAGCUAGUUCUUGUCCAUUUCGUGUAUUUUUUUUCCUUCCAUAUAUACUGAACAAAAAUAUAAAUGCAACACGUAUCGUUGGUCCCAUAUUUCAUGAGCUGAAAUAAAUGA